Molecule: long non-coding RNA, 2395 nt
Filed under: Homo sapiens (human)
Lineage: Eukaryota; Metazoa; Chordata; Mammalia; Primates; Hominidae
Description: MIAT neighbor
Source: RNAcentral
GGCACUGUACAUGGGUAACUUCACCUGAAAUGCUGAAAAUAAAUCUUGCUCAUUCUUUCCUGGGAUAUAGUGAAUGACUUCAUGCCCUACAUUGUAUGGGCUACCCACAUAGGUGAGGAAUUGAGGAUACAGCCAUGGAGGAUUUUUCUGUUAAACCUCAGAAGGGAUGCUCUCAAUUUCUGCAAGGCUCUCCUGGGCAACAUGAACGGUCCAGACAAGUUCAUUCAUUUUUUUGUUUUUCUGGAGGGUUAAAUGGGGGAUAGAGUAUUCAGGAGGUAGGUUUAGCUCAGUCCAAGGAUGGCUACAAAGAGCUGUGGUAGGUAGUGCUCUGACAAAGAGUUCCCUGUCGUGGGGAUAUUCAAGUGUAACUCAGUUAAUUUCUUGUUGGGGAUGUUCUGAGCAUGGUCAGAACAAAGAGAAAGGGAAAUUCAGGGGGAAUUGGUCUAGAAGAUCCCUUCAAUUCCAGGAUGCUGUGGUUUCAGGAAGGCAGGAAUGAUCUACCAUGAAAGGUUUUUACAACAGUAGGAAACAUCAUCAUCUUGGCUUUGCCUGUCUCCAGGAGGCUUGAAUGUGAUUUGCAUAACCACAGGGGGAUGGAUGUCUUGAUCUUUCACAGUUUUUUUCCAGCCCUUAGAAUCAUUCUGGUCUUUGCUUGCAACCUCCUUUAGAACCAUAUCCUGAGCCACCUCCAUCCUUCUCCCAAAUUAUUGUAACAACUUCUGAGUAGGUCCCCUAGCACUCUAUAAUCUACCCUCCACACAGAAGCAAAAGCUAUCAUAUAAAAUAAAAAUCGGAUAUAUUUUCCCCCUACAGUUGUAACUUAUGACCAUAGCCGUCCCCAACCCAACUGGUUCUCCCAUUCCACCUCCCCUCACCUAAUGUGCACAAACCACUCUCCCUUCUUUUCUGACUCACAAACAUUCAGGGCUUUUGCCUUUCCUCUGUCUGAGCCCUCUUCCCCUAGGACUUUGCAAGGCCAGUUUUUUUCUCAUCGUUAAAUUCCCAGCUCAACUGUCACCCCAGACAGGGCUCUCUGACCAGUCUCCAGUCACUCCAUCCGGACGACCCUUUUAAUUUUCCUUUCAGCAUUUAUCUAGCUGGGCCUGGUGAUGUGUGUCUGUAGUUUCAGCCACUCGGGAGGCUGAGGAAGGAGGAUUGCUGGAGCCCAGGAGUUCAAGGCUGCAGUGAGCUGUGAUCAUCACUUUGCUCCAGUCUGGAUGACAGAGCGAGACCCUGUCUCUAAAACAUAAAUAAAUAGGCCAGGUUUGGUGGCUCAUGCCUGUAAUCCCAGCACUUUUGGAGGCUGAAGCCAGUGGAUUGUUUGAGCCCAGGAAUUUGAGACCAGCCUGGACAACAGGUGAAACCCUGUUUCUAGGAAAAGCAAAAAUUAGCCAGGCAUAGUGGUACAUACCUGUGGUCCCAGAUACUCAGGAGGCUGAUGUGAAAGGACCACCUGAGCCUGGGAAGUUGAGGCUGCAGUGAGCUGAGACUGCUCCACUGAACUCUAGCCUGGGCGGCAGAGUGAGACCCUGUCUCUAAAUACAUAAAUAAAAUAAGUAAAGCACUUUUCAGUAUCUUUCUGGAAUUCUUAUCUAUUUGUUAACAUAUGUAUGGUCUUUUUCUGCUGCUGAGAGGUGAAGCCAGCUGGACUUCCUGGCUCGAGUAGGGACUUGGAGAACUUUUCUGUCUAGUUAGAGGUUUGUAAAUGCACCAAUCAGCGCUUUGUGUCUAGCCAAAGGAUUGUAAAUGCACCAAUCAGCAACUCUGUAAAAUGGACCAAUCAGCACUCUGUAAAAUGGACCAAUCAGCACUCUGUAAAAUUGACCAAUCAGCAGGAUGUGGGAGGGGACAAAUAAGGAAAUAAAAGCUGACCACCCCAGCCAGCGGGGGCGACGUGGUGGGGUCCAUUUGUAGGUUGUGGAGGAUUUGAUCUUUUGCUCUUGGAAAUAAAUCUUGCUGCUGCGCGCGCUCUCUCUCUGGGUGCAUGCUGCUUUUAAGAGCUGUGAUACUCACCAGGAAGGUCCGUGGUUUCAUUCUGGAAGUCAGCGAGACCAAGAACCCACCAGAAGGAACCAACUACAGACACACUGCUAUAUGGUCCAGCUAUGUACAAACUGAAUCAAGAUUCUAUGUACAUCAGAAUCAAGAGAGAGUGAGUUCUUGACAUCACGGAGCGGUCUACAUUCUAGUUCAUGCGGUGGACCUGCUGGGUGGCCUCAGGGGCAUGGAUGAAACUGGAAACCAUCAUUCUCAGCAAACUGUCAAACUAUUGCAAGGACAGAAAACCAAACACCGCAUGUUCUCACUCAUAGGUGGGAAUUGAACAGUGAGAACACAUGGACACAGGAAGGGGAACAUCACACACCGGGGACUGUUGUGGGGUUGGGGGAGGGGG